RNAcentral lists this ribosomal RNA (432 nucleotides) under uncultured bacterium. RNAcentral's name for it is "partial 16S ribosomal RNA". It matches the Rfam family "Bacterial small subunit ribosomal RNA", at positions 29 to 506 of the family's 1533-position model. The record is from RNAcentral.
AACGAACGCUGGCGGCAUGCCUAACACAUGCAAGUCGAACGAGACCUUCGGGUCUAGUGGCGCACGGGUGCGUAACGCGUGGGAACCUGCCCUUAGGUUCGGAAUAACUCCCCGAAAGGGGUGCUAAUACCGGAUAAUGUCUUCGGACCAAAGAUUUAUCGCCUUUGGAUGGGCCCGCGUUGGAUUAGCUAGUUGGUAGGGUAAAAGCCUACCAAGGCGACGAUCCAUAGCUGGUCUGAGAGGAUGAUCAGCCACACUGGGACUGAGACACGGCCCAGACUCCUACGGGAGGCAGCAGUGGGGAAUAUGGGACAAUGGGCGAAAGCCUGAUCCAGCAAGGCCGCGUGAGUGAUGAAGGCCUUAGGGUUGUAAAGCUCUUUUACCCGGGAUGAUAAUGACAGUACCGGGAGAAUAAGCUCCGGCUAACUCCGG